GAAAUGUCUGUUCCCAUACAAUCACUGAAGUUAAGCAACAUUGAGCCUGUCAAUACCUAGAUUUGUGACCACUUGGGAAUACCAGGUGCUGUAAG
Molecule: non-coding RNA, 95 nt
Organism: Acanthosepion pharaonis
Lineage: Eukaryota; Metazoa; Mollusca; Cephalopoda; Sepiida; Sepiidae
Source: the annotation of a GenBank genome assembly